RNAcentral lists this ribosomal RNA (443 nucleotides) under uncultured bacterium. RNAcentral describes it as "partial 16S ribosomal RNA". It matches the Rfam family "Bacterial small subunit ribosomal RNA", at positions 338 to 795 of the family's 1533-position model. The record is from RNAcentral.
CCUACGGGUGGCUGCAGUGGGGAAUAUUGGGCAAUGGGCGCAAGCCUGACCCAGCAACGCCGCGUGAAGGAAGAAGGCUUUCGGGUUGUAAACUUCUUUUAUGAGGGACGAAGGAAGUGACGGUACCUCAUGAAUAAGCCACGGCUAACUACGUGCCAGCAGCCGCGGUAAUACGUAGGUGGCGAGCGUUAUCCGGAUUUACUGGGUGUAAAGGGCGGGUAGGCGGGCUUGCAAGUCAGAGGUGAAAACUAUGGGCUCAACCCAUGGCCUGCAUUUGAAACUGUAGGUCUUGAGUGAUGGAGAGGCAGGCGGAAUUCCGGGUGUAGCGGUGAAAUGCGUAGAUAUACGGAGGAACACCAGUGGCGAAGGCGGCCUGCUGGACAUUAACUGACGCUGAGGCGCGAAAGCGUGGGGAGCAAACAGGAUUAGAUACCCGGGUAGUC